GGACGAACGCUGGCGGCGUGCUUACCACAUGCAAGUCGAACGGAAAGGCCCUGCUUUUGUGGGGUGCUCGAGUGGCGAACGGGUGAGUAACACGUGAGUAACCUGCCCUUGACUUUGGGAUAACUUCAGGAAACUGGGGCUAAUACCGGAUAGGAGCUCCUGCUGCAUGGUGGGGGUUGGAAAGUUUCGGCGGUUGGGGAUGGACUCGCGGCUUAUCAGCUUGUUGGUGGGGUAGUGGCUUACCAAGGCUUUGACGGGUAGCCGGCCUGAGAGGGUGACCGGCCACAGUGGGAAGUGGGUGCAGUCUGGGCGGCUGCGGGUGGCAGCAGCGCGGCAUGGUGUACAACGGGCGGGGGGCGGAGGCCGCAUCGCCCCGGGCGGGAGGACGGCCUUCGGGUGGUGACAUGCGUACCCCUGUGACAAAGCGUGAGUGACGGAAAUGGGUAACGAAGCCCCGCCUAACUACG
Molecule: ribosomal RNA, 467 nt
Filed under: uncultured bacterium
Lineage: Bacteria
Description: partial 16S ribosomal RNA
Rfam family: Bacterial small subunit ribosomal RNA
Source: RNAcentral